UACGUAGGUGGCGAGCGUUGUCCGGAAUUACUGGGUGUAAAGGGCGCGUAGGCGGGCGCUUAAGUCAGACGUGAAAUACCGAGGCUCAACCUCGGGUCUGCGUUUGAAACUGGGCGUCUUGAGUGUCGGAGAGGGAAGCAGAAUUCCUAGUGUAGCGGUGAAAUGCGUAGAUAUUAGGAGGAACACCAGUGGCGAAGGCGGCUUUCUGGACGAUAACUGACGCUGAGGCGCGAAAGCGUAGGGAGCAAAUAGG
Molecule: ribosomal RNA, 253 nt
Filed under: uncultured bacterium
Lineage: Bacteria
Description: partial 16S ribosomal RNA
Rfam family: Bacterial small subunit ribosomal RNA
Source: RNAcentral